Long non-coding RNA from Brassica oleracea var. oleracea, 961 nucleotides. RefSeq lists it as uncharacterized. Lineage: Eukaryota; Viridiplantae; Streptophyta; Magnoliopsida; Brassicales; Brassicaceae. The record is from RefSeq and is a predicted model, not a curated record. The transcript has 4 exons.
UGUGCCUAAGAGCAGCUCCAUUGGAAGCUUUUAGAGAGGGUUCUAAAAAAAAAAGCAAAAAAAAUAAAUGAAAAAAUAGAUAAAAAAUGUAACUUUUUUGUUUGAACACAUAUAGGAAGUCCGUUGAAGGCCGCUGUUUUGAUUAACUACGACCCGACAGCACCUUCUCGUCUCAUAUAAACACUAGCUGAGCAAGAAGGAAUUGAUCUCUACCCAGUCGAGCUGAAGCAGUUCAUGAGACGUGGCAAUCUUCCGACCUAGACUUUUGUUCUUGGAUCCAACCAGUGCAUAUAUAGUAACAUCGAUCCACGAGAACUGGUUUGCUGUUGGGUGCUUAAACACAACUCGACCUGCUGGUGAAGGAGCUAUUGUUAUGCAGACCGCGGUUUAUGUAUUGGUUGCUCUGUAUGAUGGAUCGAUUGGUUCAGCUUCUCGAGCUGCUGCAGCUGAUCACUUUGCAUCGCAGCUAAGUAGGAAAAACUUCUAGCUUCAUCUUUUGCCAAGAUCAUUAAGAAAGUCAUAUAUGUAUUUUGAAGUAACGAACUUUUGACUAUGUUUUGAGUCUUUGACAAGUAUAAUGAAGUAAGAUGAAAUGUUUUUCAUUUAUGAAAUAUGAAUAGAGAAGUCAGGAAUCAGUUGGUACAACAAGCCUUUGCUUAUGGGUACAGAGAACAACUCAUCUCAGCAUAGAUUUGUUUUAAUUCGGUUCCAAGUCAUGUAAGCAGUAGGAGUUGUUGCGUUGUAAUCUCUGAAACUGUUCAAGUUCUUGAAGCUAGAAACACUAUAGUCUUGUCAUGUUGGGUUCUGAUAUCAGACGCUUCUAAGUUCUAACUUCAUGUCUGAGUCAAGUGUUGUUCAGGUAAUGUGGAUCAUGUUUGCAAGACAUAGCGGACACACCAUUUGAUCAGCUGAAGUAACGAGAUCUCUAUCUAAUUAUAAAUUUAUAUGUCUAUUUUUAAUA